Molecule: long non-coding RNA, 721 nt
Organism: Glycine soja
Lineage: Eukaryota; Viridiplantae; Streptophyta; Magnoliopsida; Fabales; Fabaceae
Exons: 3
Source: RefSeq, a predicted model, not a curated record
AAUUCAGUCUGUUUGCAGUUUCAUAUUUUAGAUUUUGUGACCUAGUUUUUGGAGUUACUUUUGUUUUUGCUUUUGUAUUUUGCAGCCUAGAAGACUUCAUUCAAAUGUCCAGGAUUGGGGAAUUCAGGAAACGUCUUCAGUUUCUCUUUGCUUUCCUUGGUAAAAAUCAUAUCAGUGCAUGCUUGAAAAUUAAUUGCAGUUCUUACCAAUGCAAGUAACUUUCACUUAUUGGAGAGAGAUCGUAGUAGUUAGUUCAAAUCUUCUACUAACAAAAACACUAAUAACUAACGACAACAUGGACAAGGAGGAGGAGGACAUUGCCCACAAAACACUAACGUCAGCCAUGGUGGCGGAUUCCAGCGAGCUGACGCAGCGGAAGUUGCCAGAGGAGGAGGAAGGUGGGAACACAGAAAUUAGUCAAACUCCAAUGCCUGUCAUGCAAGUUCAACCACCUGCUUCAAAUAAACUGAAUGAAAAGGAUGAAAAAAGGGAGUUGCUCCUCGAGUCAAUUAGGAAAGCCAUGGAAGGGUUGACAAUAGUUGGAACUGCAAUGAUGGUGUUUCUAUAGAGAUGAAUAGAGAUGGCCAAGACUGUGUUUCUAUAGUCACUGAGAAUGACAUAGAGAUGGCCAAGACUGAAGAAGCACGGAGAAAAAAAAAAUGAAAAAACCAUGAAAGACUCAUACGCUAUGAAACAUCGACACCGAUACGGACACCGGAUA